Long non-coding RNA from Cynoglossus semilaevis (tongue sole), 1045 nucleotides. RefSeq lists it as uncharacterized. The transcript has 3 exons. The record is from RefSeq and is a predicted model, not a curated record. Lineage: Eukaryota; Metazoa; Chordata; Actinopteri; Pleuronectiformes; Cynoglossidae.
UGUCACCUGUGUCUGUUCCUGCUGCUGAUCACAUGGACUACCUGUUACCCUGCUGCUGAUGUUACUGUCACUGAGUUUCAGUGGAUUUUAUUGGAUUGUAUGUUUUACCGCUUUGUUUUGCUGUCUUAAAUGUUCAAAAUGGAACAUUUUUUAAAGUCAACUGUAAAGGAUUUACCUCAGAGGAUACAGAAAAAAAGGUCGACAUCAUCGUUCCCUUAAUGAGACAUCAAAGGGCGUGCAGGGCCACUGCUGUGAUUUGGCGUCGGUGUGUGAAGGCGGUAUAAUGAAGCUCCUGGUGCAGCAGUGUUGGCUGAAAAACAUUCAAGUACAAUGAAGGAAUUAAGAGUAAAACCAAUUUCACAAAUCGUCCGACAGAUGAUCUGAUGAUGUGAGCGUUGUUUCUGCCAAUCCAUGCAAAACCUAAGGUGUGUACUCUGGGAUCUGUUACACACAACCCCUGAAACCCAGAUGCACAAACACAGGAACAGUAAUGUGAGCCGCCAUCUUUUCCCCUCAAGGCAGAUUUAUGCACAUAAAUCAUUUCCUACACUGUGUUUUGGGGGAUUUAUAGCAAUAAUAGGCCAUCUCUGCCAUUCCCAUCCUGUUUCUUCUGUGCAGUCCCUGGGAAAAACCUCAAACGUCUUAACUGCUGGUCAUAUUGGGUUUUCAACCGCAGUCUUACCUUUCCCUGACCUCACGGCCCUUUAAUUUAGUCAAGUAUUGGAGUGACAUGGUCUUGUAUUCUAUCACAGGUGUAGAAAAAAAAACAAAACAACGUAGUGGUUCGUUUAACUUCCAAGAUUCAGAAUAACGCAGCAGUGUAGUAGGGAAAUCGAAACAAAACUUUUUUUUUUUAAACACUAUUGUUACUGAAUCUGCCAUCAGCCAAAAAAAAACAAAGGUAAAACCUGAAUCACAUUUCACAGUAUUUCUGUCACCGCUUCAAUGACUUUAGCAGCACCGUUAAAGAGAUCGUCCAGAUAAAGAGCUUUUAUUAGACGUUUUAGGUCACUCCCUCUGAGGUGAGGACCUCUGUCGUACUUAC